GAACGGAACUAUAAACUGGCAUUACACAUGCAAGUCGAGCGGAGAGAGGUAGCUUGCUACCGAUCUUAGCGGCGGACGGGUGAGUAAUGCUUAGGAAUCUGCCUAUUAGUGGGGGACAACAUUUCGAAAGGAAUGCUAAUACCGCAUACGUCCUACGGGAGAAAGCAGGGGAUCUUCGGACCUUGCGCUAAUAGAUGAGCCUAAGUCGGAUUAGCUAGUUGGUGGGGUAAAGGCCUACCAAGGCGACGAUCUGUAGCGGGUCUGAGAGGAUGAUCCGCCACACUGGGACUGAGACACGGCCCAGACUCCUACGGGAGGCAGCAGUGGGGAAUAUUGGACAAUGGGCGCAAGCCUGAUCCAGCCAUGCCGCGUGUGUGAAGAAGGCCUUAUGGUUGUAAAGCACUUUAAGCGAGGAGGAGGCUACUUUAGUUAAUACCUAGAGAUAGUGGACGUUACUCGCAGAAUAAGCACCGGCUAACUCUGUGCCAGCAGCCGCGGUAAUACAGAGGGUGCAAGCGUUAAUCGGAUUUACUGGGCGUAAAGCGCGCGUAGGCGGCUAAUUAAGUCAAAUGUGAAAUCCCCGAGCUUAACUUGGGAAUUGCAUUCGAUACUGGUUAGCUAGAGUGUGGGAGAGGAUGGUAGAAUUCCAGGUGUAGCGGUGAAAUGCGUAGAGAUCUGGAGGAAUACCGAUGGCGAAGGCAGCCAUCUGGCCUAACACUGACGCUGAGGUGCGAAAGCAUGGGGAGCAAACAGGAUUAGAUACCCUGGUAGUCCAUGCCGUAAACGAUGUCUACUAGCCGUUGGGGCCUUUGAGGCUUUAGUGGCGCAGCUAACGCGAUAAGUAGACCGCCUGGGGAGUACGGUCGCAAGACUAAAACUCAAAUGAAUUGACGGGGGCCCGCACAAGCGGUGGAGCAUGUGGUUUAAUUCGAUGCAACGCGAAGAACCU
RNAcentral lists this ribosomal RNA (949 nucleotides) under Acinetobacter sp. OVC4. RNAcentral describes it as "bacterial SSU rRNA". It matches the Rfam family "Bacterial small subunit ribosomal RNA", at positions 31 to 971 of the family's 1533-position model. The record is from RNAcentral. Lineage: Bacteria; Pseudomonadati; Pseudomonadota; Gammaproteobacteria; Moraxellales; Moraxellaceae.